This 1240-nucleotide long non-coding RNA is filed under the name Homo sapiens (human). RNAcentral's name for it is "HSALNT0384538". Lineage: Eukaryota; Metazoa; Chordata; Mammalia; Primates; Hominidae. The record is from RNAcentral.
GCUGUGCUGGGGCAGAGCUGCUUCCCCUUUGACAUUGGCUUUUUUCUAAAACCGAAAAUAAGCAACCGUGGCUGUGACUUCACUUUUCUUGGAACUGCUUUACAUUACCCCCCAAAUGGAGAAAACCCUCAUUUAGCAGCUUUUGGAUUGCCAAGUUCUCUAAUUCUUUCUGUUGCAUAUUCUUGUAAUGCUCAAGUUUUACUGACAAAGUCUUCUGCAUCAGGUGAAGCAGGAGGAGGAAGGAAUGACCAUGUGAAGUAACUGAGCGCUUUGUUGCCUGGCCUGUGGGUGUGUGGUUUCAUGGUUGAGGAGAAAAAGCACCUGGAAGACACAGUGUGUGUAGAAUGCCUUCCAGUUCCAAGGGUGACAACCCUGCGAUCUGCUGGCCAGCAGAUGGGCUAGGGCUGCUGUUGCUAAACAUCAGGCUACAGCCGAAACUUACAGAGCAGCUGCCUGCUUCAAGGACAAGGGGAAAAAUGCAUUUUCAGUCAUAAUGACCUACAUUUAGCAGAUAUUUCGGAGCCCGUGCGAAAGGACAUCUUCAAAGGGCCUCUUCCUCCUUGUGAUAAGGGAGACAGUGAUGUUAGUCAAACGUGGGGCCCAGUCCUGGUCCUGCCCGUUCCUGUCUGACUUUGGCCUUGGAAGUCUGUGAAGCCGAGACAAUUCAUCCUUCAAAGGGUGGUACCGGAUAUGUUGUCAUUACCAUGGGGAUUACACGAAACAUCCUGAAGUUAGAGCAAUCCAUUUUAAACUGAUGUUUUGUUGAUGGCUGACGUAGCGGACUCAAAACAACGAGCACUUCUGCUUGAUACACAGAUUCUCCGAGGUUCCUGUGGAGCCACAGCACCUCCUGUCUUGGCACUUCAUAGUUGUCUCAUCGAGUCCAAGGCUGCCUCCCAAGGGUCUGGCUGGUAGACCAUGAAGUUGAUUCCUGCCUUAAGCCUGGCUCUGCAAGAAGUUGUCCUAUAUUCUCACCAGUCACAUUUUUGGUACUAGAACGGUGCUUUUUAUAGUGCACUCGUAACUGGACGCUGAAAUCACAGCCUGGCCAUUUGGAUGUUCAACCGAUGCUUUAUGCUGCUGAGUCCUUGGAACUCACUCCCCGUGCCGGAACUCACUGGAGCUCAGGUGUGUGGCACUACCUUGUUUCUCUGCAGCUGGUAUUGCAAACAUUUUUCAUGCAUUUAUUUCCCAUUGUUUACUUUUGAGUUUUUGUUUUGUGAGACAGGGUCUCAGUCUG